UGGGGAAUAUUGCGCAAUGGGGGAAACCCUGACGCAGCAACGCCGCGUGAAGGAUGAAGGUUUUCGGAUUGUAAACUUCUUUGAUGGGGGACGAAUAAAUGACGGUACCCCAAAAACAAGCCACGGCUAACUACGUGCCAGCAGCCGCGGUAAUACGUAGGUGGCGAGCGUUGUCCGGAAUUACUGGGUGUAAAGGGCGUGUAGGCGGGAUUGUAAGUCAGAUGUGAAAUUCCGAGGCUCAACUUCGGAGCUGCAUCUGAAACUGUGAUUCUUGAGUGCUGGAGAGGAUAGUGGAAUUCCUAGUGUAGCGGUGAAAUGCGUAGAUAUUAGGAGGAACACCAGUGGCGAAGGCGGCUAUCUGGACAGUAACUGACGCUGAGGCGCGAAAGCGUGGGGAGCAAACAGGAUUAGAUACCCUGGUAGUCCACGCUGUAAACGAUGAGUACUAGGUGUAGGAGGUAUCGACCCCUUCUGUGCCGCAGUUAACACAAUAAGUAUUCCACCG
Molecule: ribosomal RNA, 505 nt
Filed under: uncultured Bacillota bacterium
Lineage: Bacteria; Bacillati; Bacillota
Description: bacterial SSU rRNA
Rfam family: Bacterial small subunit ribosomal RNA
Source: RNAcentral